This is a long non-coding RNA of Microplitis mediator, 2175 nucleotides long. RefSeq lists it as uncharacterized. Lineage: Eukaryota; Metazoa; Arthropoda; Insecta; Hymenoptera; Braconidae. The transcript has 4 exons. The record is from RefSeq and is a predicted model, not a curated record.
CUCAUUUCCCUCUCCUAGUGGAGUUACACGCGCCCCACUUACAUCGCCGGGAGCAAAAAAUUUUUUCGUGCCUACGGAAACAGCCGGCUGCUGCCAUCUACUGAACGUCUACCACUUUAUCAAUAAAAUUUUUGACGAUAACAUCAUAGAUCGUUGCUUUAUUUAUAUGUACGUCAGUGUUUUCGUGUCUCGUUGUUUGUGAUAUUUUAAGUAAACAGUGUACUUGCAAUAAUAAAAUGACUGAAAAAGUAUCAUCUGAUGACUCUAUGGACGAGGAUGAGGAGAUAAAAGAUUUUGAUGCAGAGGCGAGGUUGCAGUGUAUUACAAAUUCUCAAUGCCAUAAGGGAAACUGGAACAAAAUACGACCAUUUGAAAGAAAAAAUUCUUGUUAAAAAAUGUUCACUUACCGUAAAUAGAAGAGGAUGGACUACUGAGCUGUCCCAACAUUUCAACUGAAAAUAAAAAAGAGGAAAACUGGACAUUCCAGAAUUUUCAAGUAUUUUUUUUUGUUAUCGAUGUCGUCAAUCAUCAAUUUCUAACGAUCUCAACAAUUAAAAUCUUUGAUUUAAAUAUAAUGCAGGAUUGCGUCGAAAUUUAAGGCAUACUUUGAACCUAAACAAGCAUUGAAAAUCUACAUAGGACUUUUUAGGACAUAAUUAUUGUAAAAGCUUGAAAUGGAUCUACUUAGACAGAGACCUUAAUUAAACCUACUUUGACUUAUGGGGGCAUGAAUUAGAUCUGCAUAGACAAAAAUCGUGAAACAAACGUAACCACACGGAUAGAAAUGUCAAUUAAAUUUGCCUAUACAGCAUAGUAAUAAUAACAUUACUCUAUAACUUGUAUAAGGAGUCUCAUAAGAGCGGCGUAACACAAUCUAUAGAGUAAUGUUAUUAUUACUAUGCUGCAUAGGCAUAGUUACUUGACAUUUCUAUUCGUGUAGACGUAACAGAGGAAAAGACUUGCAAUGAAUACAACAAAAAGUUAAAAUUCGUGGACUAUAGAAGAAUUGAUGCAAGUGAUCCAGUCAUCUCUCCAAUGCACGGAUCGAUCUCAUUGUGCUUCGCAUUAUGAGUCGUGCAAAAGAACUGAUUCUGCAACAGGACUUGGUUCUGUUAUAGCUACAGGACUUGCCCUGUAGUUGCAACAGAAAAACCUUGUAGUAUUUACAAGAUCAGUCCUGUUGCAGCCAGAGUUCUAUUCCUGUUGCAACCACGGAUCCAUUCUUGUUGCAGCCACAGGAAUAGUCUUGAAUUCGUAAUAAGUAUAAUAAUGUAAAUUACUGCAGUUGUCGGUCUAAUUCAUGCUUUUGUAAGUCUAAGUUUUUCAUUUCUAGCUUUUAUAAUGAUUAUGUCCUAAAAAGUCUAAUGUAGGUUUUCAUUGAUCAUUUAGGUCAAAAUACGCCUUAAAUUUCAACUCGGAUGAUGUCACCGAGAACUGAAAUGAAUUAUUUUAGACUUCUUUGCAUAUUAUAAGAAUGUGAAGACAUACAUUAUUUCAAUAACUUUUUACAAAAAAUUUCCGUUGACUAUUGAACACAUCCCAGCACUUUGUAUCAAAAAAAUGAAUCACAAUUUCUCUAAAAGCUCGUGUUAUUUUUUGCAACAAUUUUGUCGAAAUUUCGCAAAACCAACACUCUCUAAAUAAGUUUUCGGUUCACAGACUUAUAAAAUUAUUAUAUAAACUAUAAGCAGUAUUAAUUGAAGGAUGAAAAUAAUUAUAAAAGUUAAAUAAAAUAAAUGAGUUGAUAAAUUUGUCAUUCAGAGUCUUGAUUCUGUAAGAUAUAGGAUUCAGAACGUCUACGAGAAAAUAGAUCAAUUAAGAAAAGGAUCAAAUAAAUAUAUCUAUACAUAUAUAGUGUUAUUCAGAAGCAGAUUGUGAACAAAGACGUUGGUUUUCUUGUCGCACAGACUGAGAAUCCCAAUCUCCUUGCAACCCCAACCAACUGCUAUACGUACAGAAGUAUAGAAGGCGAGUAAGAGUAGACUAUCUCCAACCCAAGUUAUUCUCUCUGACUUCCAUUCACUACUACAACAUUUCGCGAUCCACUUCUCGUCCAACCGAGUAAAUGUUUAAAUUCAAGACAAGUUAAUUAAAACUGAGUGUAAUUAUAGCCGUAGUCUUGCUAGGAAAACCAACAUAACCAACUAAAUAUCAUGCUCUAUGUAUUACCCAUUG